Molecule: unclassified non-coding RNA, 375 nt
Filed under: uncultured Eubacteriales bacterium
Lineage: Bacteria; Bacillati; Bacillota; Clostridia; Eubacteriales
Description: contains 16S-23S intergenic spacer region
Source: RNAcentral
UCCACGUUAACCGCGGCAGUCUCGUUAGAGUGCUUAACUUAAUAGUAGCAACUAACAAUAAGGGUUGCGCUCGUUGCGGGACUUAACCCAACAUCUCACGACACGAGCUGACGACAACCAUGCACCACCUGUCUUCCUGUCCCCGAAGGGACUUCCUCGAUUAAGAGUAAUUCAGGAGAUGUCAAGUCUAGGUAAGGUUCUUCGCGUUGCUUCGAAUUAAACCACAUGCUCCGCUGCUUGUGCGGGUCCCCGUCAAUUCCUUUGAGUUUUAAUCUUGCGACCGUACUCCCCAGGCGGAAUACUUAAUGCGUUUGCUGCGGCACCGAGGGUGGUACCCCCCGACACCUAGUAUUCAUCGUUUACGGCGUGGACUAC